GACGAACGCUGGCGGCGUGCCUAAUACAUGCAAGUAGAACGCUGAAGGAGGAGCUUGCUUCUCUGGAUGAGUUGCGAACGGGUGAGUAACGCGUAGGUAACCUGCCUGGUAGCGGGGGAUAACUAUUGGAAACGAUAGCUAAUACCGCAUAAGAGUAGAUGUUGCAUGACAUUUGCUUAAAAGGUGCAAUUGCAUCACUACCAGAUGGACCUGCGUUGUAUUAGCUAGUUGGUGGGGUAACGGCUUACCAAGGCGACGAUACAUAGCCGACCUGAGAGGGGGAUCGGCCAAACUGGGACUGAGACACGGCCCAGGCUCCUACGGGAGGCAGCAGUAGGGAAUCUUCGGCAAUGGACGGAAGUCUGACCGAGCAACGCCGCGUGAGUGAAGAAGGGUUUCGGAUCGUAAAGCUCUGUUGUAAGAGAAGAACGAGUGUGAGAGUGGAAAGUUCACACUGUGACGGUAGCUUACCAGAAAGGGACGGCUAACUACGUG
This 495-nucleotide ribosomal RNA is filed under the name uncultured bacterium. RNAcentral describes it as "partial 16S ribosomal RNA". It matches the Rfam family "Bacterial small subunit ribosomal RNA", at positions 28 to 507 of the family's 1533-position model. The record is from RNAcentral.